CCUACGGGAGGCAGCAGUGAGGAAUAUUGGUCAAUGGACGAGAGUCUGAACCAGCCAAGUAGCGUGAAGGAUGACUGCCCUAUGGGUUGUAAACUUCUUUUAUAUGGGAAUAAAGUGUUCCACGUGUGGGCUUUUGUAUGUACCAUAUGAAUAAGGAUCGGCUAACUCCGUGCCAGCAGCCGCGGUAAUACGGAGGAUCCGAGCGUUAUCCGGAUUUAUUGGGUUUAAAGGGAGCGUAGGUGGAUUGUUAAGUCAGUUGUGAAAGUUUGCGGCUCAACCGUAAAAUUGCAGUUGAAACUGGCAGUCUUGAGUACAGUAGAGGUGGGCGGAAUUCGUGGUGUAGCGGUGAAAUGCUUAGAUAUCACGAAGAACUCCGAUUGCGAAGGCAGCUCACUGGACUGCAACUGACACUGAGGCUCGAAAGUGUGGGUAUCAAACAGGAUUAGAUACCCUAGUAGUC
This 460-nucleotide ribosomal RNA is filed under the name uncultured bacterium. RNAcentral's name for it is "partial 16S ribosomal RNA". It matches the Rfam family "Bacterial small subunit ribosomal RNA", at positions 338 to 795 of the family's 1533-position model. The record is from RNAcentral.